CAACAUCCAUCCUCAAGGUCCUCUUCAUGGAACCUAGGAUUUAAUAAAUGGCGCUUUUGAGAAUAUAGAUGAAAUCCAGAUUCCUAUAUUCCAAAACAUUAGUGCAUGUUUAGAAUGGCGUUGAGUGACCUUGAUUUUCACAAAUUUACGGUGUUGAUUUUGAUUAGUUAGGAUUUAUAGAUGAGAUUAAGUGUAUGUUUGGUUUUGCAUAGAUAAAAUGAUUUAUGUUUGAAUACACUUAUGUAGAAGUGAGUUGAACGAUAAAUUUAAAUGUUAAAAUCAAUUCUAGAACCACAAACUUUAAUUUCUAAUUCUAGCUCCUCUAGAAGUGGAACCAAACAUGGCUAAGUUGUUUGAUUGCCGGGAUUUGUUUGCAGUAGAAAAAUGCUUCUUACAAAUGAAAUGAUACGUAUACAUUAUGUAAAAACAAAUCUUUAUUUUUAGCACUAAUAAUAUUUUCUUUACACACAUACUGUAACCAAGCCUCAAUUUGUUAUCAUGCAAAAACUGUUUUUACCACAACAAUGGCAACACUGUUUACAAUAUCCUAAAACACCUGUUGACAAUCAUGGUCUGGUCCCUAUAUAGAUGAAACUCCCGACAGAAACAGCUAUAUAUAUGAUGCAAACCAGAUUUCCCAACACAUCAACAGCUACAUAAAAUUUAUAAAUGAGACAAAGAAUAGCCUCUGGUUCUCAUCAUUUUUAUAUAAAAUGAUUGGGUUCCAACCUCAAAUGUUAACAAGUUUUGAACAGAUAUUUAACAAUUAAUUAAUGAUGAUCCGGUGGACAUAGUUGUAGAUUGUAGAUAACAUAAUCAAAGGCAGCAAGCAAGUAAUAUUGAUACUGGCUUACAUAAAAUAACAUCUAACCUUUUUUUUUUAUGUAGUAUUAGAAUUUAUACUACAUCAUACUAAACAUUUUUUAAAUAUAAUAAACUCACGUAUAAUUUGACUUUGCUCUGCGUGUUGUUUGGGGUUUAAUUUAUCUUUACACUAAAAUAUCAUUAUCAAUUUCAAAAAAGUAAAGGUUAAAGGGAGCCAUAAACACGACUCUUAAUACUGUCUCUUUUGUUCAUUCUCUUUGGAGUUCUACCCCGUCUUUAUAAAAUGGUGGUGUGGAUUAAAAACACAUAGUAUAGCACACAUAAAAAAUUGACUUUGCCCCUUUCUUAAAUUCUAUCCAAGUGCUUCUAAAUCUCAUACCGAAAAGAUUUCUAAUGUAAAAAGAAUUUUAAAGAAUUUCAUCGUUCACUUUACAAGUUGAUUUUCUAAGAAUAACCUAAACCCAAUAUAAAUUUAAAUAAUACAAGGCGUGAGGAAGUUUAUUAAGUGAUACAUGAAAACUCUAAAUUUCCUAAAUUUAUUUUUCCUCAGGUUUUCAGCUAACAAUAUGAAAAAGAAGAAAAGAGGGACAUGAAUUAUGCAUCAACAGAUUCAACAAGAGACAGAACUGUCUCACAAAGCCUGUUCUAGCUAAUUAUUUAUGAUACAAAAACAAGAACUGUUCAUUCUUAAUGUCGAUAGACCAAAAAAGAGAAAAGAAACAAAAAAUAAGAUUAUUCAUGAUCUCAAUACUUAUGAUCAUAUUUAUGCCAACAAAUUAGAAUCAUUAUACAUCUUCUAACAAUAUAGAACCUGGACUUAUGCUCCUUUACCAUAGCAAAACAUCCUCCACCAUGCCUUUGUGAAUAAACAGAUUCUCCUCCACCAUCACCUCCAACCUCUCCUCCGCUAUGAAUUUUUCUACGUGAUGCACAUUGACCCAUCCAAAUGAAAUAAAACUAUACUAUAUGAAUCACAAAUAUACAAUAACUGAAAUAAACAAAACAGCUUGAUAGCAGAUUAUGUUUCUUGAACUCUUCUACGUAAUUGAUUUUAUCUUCUUGAGCUUCUAUCUAUCUAUCACUUAGUACUUAUAUGUAUCAAAAUUUGGAACUUUAUAAUAUACGAAUAUGAUUUGUUAUACGCGCCGCAUACUUGCGUGUGA
Molecule: long non-coding RNA, 1988 nt
Filed under: Medicago truncatula (barrel medic)
Lineage: Eukaryota; Viridiplantae; Streptophyta; Magnoliopsida; Fabales; Fabaceae
Description: long non-coding RNA (MTRU_LNC002903)
Source: RNAcentral